Molecule: ribosomal RNA, 207 nt
Filed under: uncultured bacterium
Lineage: Bacteria
Description: partial 16S ribosomal RNA
Rfam family: Bacterial small subunit ribosomal RNA
Source: RNAcentral
UACAGAGGUCCCAAGCGUUGUUCGGAUUCACUGGGCGUAAAGGGUGCGUAGGUGGUGAGGUAAGUCGGAUGUGAAAUCUCCGGGCUCAACCCGGAAAUGGCAUUGGAAACUACCUUGCUAGAGGAUUUGAGGGGGAUUGGAAUACUUGGUGUAGCAGUGAAAUGCGUAGAUAUCAAGUGGAACACCAGUGGCGAAGGCGAAUCCCUG